AUUGAACGCUGGCGGCAGGCCUAACACAUGCAAGUCGAACGGUAACAGGAAGCAGCUUGCUGCUUUGCUGACGAGUGGCGGACGGGUGAGUAAUGUCUGGGAAACUGCCUGAUGGAGGGGGAUAACUACUGGAAACGGUAGCUAAUACCGCAUAACGUCGCAAGACCAAAGAGGGGGACCUUAGGGCCUCUUGCCAUCGGAUGUGCCCAGAUGGGAUUAGCUAGUUGGUGGGGUAACGGCUCACCUAGGCGACGAUCCCUAGCUGGUCUGAGAGGAUGACCAGCCACACUGGAACUGAGACACGGUCCAGACUCCUACGGGAGGCAGCAGUGGGGAAUAUUGCACAAUGGGCGCAAGCCUGAUGCAGCCAUGCCGCGUGUAUGAAGAAGGCCUUCGGGUUGUAAAGUACUUUCAGCGGGGAGGAAGGGAGUAAAGUUAAUACCUUUGCUCAUUGACGUUACCCGCAGAAGAAGCACCGGCUAACUCCGUG
This 490-nucleotide ribosomal RNA is filed under the name uncultured bacterium. RNAcentral's name for it is "partial 16S ribosomal RNA". It matches the Rfam family "Bacterial small subunit ribosomal RNA", at positions 30 to 507 of the family's 1533-position model. The record is from RNAcentral.